RNAcentral lists this transfer RNA (73 nucleotides) under Phytophthora lateralis MPF4. RNAcentral's name for it is "tRNA-Lys for anticodon UUU". It matches the Rfam family "tRNA". Rfam says of the family: Transfer RNA (tRNA) molecules are approximately 80 nucleotides in length. The record is from RNAcentral. Lineage: Eukaryota; Oomycota; Peronosporomycetes; Peronosporales; Peronosporaceae.
GGACACGUAGCUCAAAUGGCAAGAGGACCGUGUUUUUAGCGGACGGAUACGUGUUCAAUUCCCGUCGUGUCCA